This 433-nucleotide ribosomal RNA is filed under the name uncultured bacterium. Its description in RNAcentral is "partial 16S ribosomal RNA". It matches the Rfam family "Bacterial small subunit ribosomal RNA", at positions 29 to 507 of the family's 1533-position model. The record is from RNAcentral.
AACGAACGCUGGCGGCAUGCCUAACACAUGCAAGUCGAACGAGACCUUCGGGUCUAGUGGCGCACGGGUGCGUAACGCGUGGGAACCUGCCCUUAGGUUCGGAAUAACUCCCCGAAAGGGGUGCUAAUACCGGAUAAUGUCUUCGGACCAAAGAUUUAUCGCCUUUGGAUGGGCCCGCGUUGGAUUAGCUAGUUGGUAGGGUAAAAGCCUACCAAGGCGACGAUCCAUAGCUGGUCUGAGAGGAUGAUCAGCCACACUGGGACUGAGACACGGCCCAGACUACUAAGGGAGGCAGCAGUGGGGAAUAUUGGGCAAUGGGCGAAAGCCUGAUCCAGCAAUGCCGCGUGAGUGAUGAAGGCCUUAGGGUUGUAAAGCUCUUUUACCCGGGAUGAUAAUGACAGUACCGGGAGAAUAAGCUCCGGCUAACUCCGUG